Molecule: ribosomal RNA, 253 nt
Filed under: uncultured bacterium
Lineage: Bacteria
Description: partial 16S ribosomal RNA
Rfam family: Bacterial small subunit ribosomal RNA
Source: RNAcentral
UACGUAGGAUACAAGCGUUGUCCGGAUUUACUGGGCGUAAAGCGCGCGCAGGCGGCAGUGUAAGUAAGGUGUGAAAUCUCCCUGCUCAACGGGGAGGGUGCACUUUAGACUACACAGCUAGAGGUCGGUAGAGGGGGGUGGAAUUGCUGGUGUAGCGGUGAAAUGCGUAGAGAUCGGAAAGAACACCAACGGCGAAAGCACUCUGCUGGGCCGACACUGACACUGAGAGACGAAAGCUAGGGGAGCGAAUGGG